RNAcentral lists this ribosomal RNA (490 nucleotides) under uncultured bacterium. Its description in RNAcentral is "partial 16S ribosomal RNA". It matches the Rfam family "Bacterial small subunit ribosomal RNA", at positions 30 to 507 of the family's 1533-position model. The record is from RNAcentral.
AUUGAGCGCUGGCGGCAGGCCUAACACAUGCAAGUCGAAUGGUAACAGGAAACAGCUUGCUGUUUCGCUGACGAGUGGCGGACGGGUGAGUAAUGUCUGGGAAACUGCCUGAUGGAGGGGGAUAACUACUGGAAACGGUAGCUAAUACCGCGUAACGUCGCAAGACCAAAGAGGGGGACCUUCGGGCCUCUUGCCAUCAGAUGUGCCCAGAUGGGAUUAGCUAGUAGGUGGGGUAACGGCUCACCUAGGCGACGAUCCCUAGCUGGUCUGAGAGGAUGACCAGCCACACUGGAACUGAGACACGGUCCAGACUCCUACGGGAGGCAGCAGUGGGGAAUAUUGCACAAUGGGCGCAAGCCUGAUGCAGCCAUGCCGCGUGUAUGAAGAAGGCCUUCGGGUUGUAAAGUACUUUCAGCGGGGAGGAAGGGAGUAAAGUUAAUACCUUUGCUCAUUGACGUUACCCGCAGAAGAAGCACCGGCUAACUCCGUG